This 435-nucleotide ribosomal RNA is filed under the name Molgula echinosiphonica. RNAcentral describes it as "eukaryotic LSU rRNA". Lineage: Eukaryota; Metazoa; Chordata; Ascidiacea; Stolidobranchia; Molgulidae. The record is from RNAcentral.
AGACUUUGAAGAGAGAGUUAAAAAGUACGUGAAACCGUUGUGAGGUAAACGGAGAGGCCCGGCGGGUCGCUUCGGUGCUUUCAGUUCGGCGGCGGUUGCGCUUGCUUGCUUGGGAUGCGUAAGCACUCGGGCGGGCUUGUGCGGCUGUUGCCUUGCGCAUUAGUGCUGUUGCGAACGCUGCGAUCGGUUGGGCGGGAACUAGAAAUUCUGCGCGAAGGUAGCUCCGAAGGCUUCUGGCUCGAAGAGUGUUACAGCGUGCGGAAUGGACGGCUUUCUGCCUGAUCGGGGUACCUGCCGCGUCGACCGUAGGGUGAGUGUCGCGAUGCGCGUUUGUCUGGUGUUUGUUGUCCACUGUUUUCAGAGGGCGACUUGCAUCGGGCGUUCGUCGUGCUGCGAUCCCUCUCGGCGCCAAGGGUUGCGGUUAUGCCGGCCACC